AAACCAACAGGGAUUGCCUUAGUAGCGGCGAGUGAAGCGGCAAAAGCUCAAAUUUGAAAUCUGGCUCUUUCAGAGUCCGAGUUGUAAUUUGAAGAAGGUAUCUUUGGGUCUGGCUCUUGUCUAUGUUUCUUGGAACAGAACGUCACAGAGGGUGAGAAUCCCGUGCGAUGAGAUGAUCCAGGCCUAUGUAAAGUUCCUUCGAAGAGUCGAGUUGUUUGGGAAUGCAGCUCUAAGUGGGUGGUAAAUUCCAUCUAAAGCUAAAUAUUGGCGAGAGACCGAUAGCGAACAAGUACAGUGAUGGAAAGAUGAAAAGAACUUUGAAAAGAGAGUGAAAAAGUACGUGAAAUUGUUGAAAGGGAAGGGCUUGAGAUCAGACUUGGUAUUUUGUAUGUUACUUCUUCGGGGGUGGCCUCUACAGUUUAUCGGGCCAGCAUCAGUUUGGGCGGUAGGAGAAUUGCGUUGGAAUGUGGCACGGCUUCGGUUGUGUGUUAUAGCCUUCGUCGAUACUGCCAGCCUAGACUGAGGACUGCGGUUUAUACAUAGGAUGUUGGCAU
This 554-nucleotide ribosomal RNA is filed under the name Candida tropicalis. Its description in RNAcentral is "eukaryotic LSU rRNA". It matches the Rfam family "Eukaryotic large subunit ribosomal RNA", at positions 62 to 632 of the family's 3401-position model. Lineage: Eukaryota; Fungi; Ascomycota; Pichiomycetes; Serinales; Debaryomycetaceae. The record is from RNAcentral.